RNAcentral lists this long non-coding RNA (483 nucleotides) under Brachypodium distachyon (stiff brome). RNAcentral's name for it is "long non-coding RNA (BDIS_LNC003045)". The record is from RNAcentral. Lineage: Eukaryota; Viridiplantae; Streptophyta; Magnoliopsida; Poales; Poaceae.
GGCGGCUCGGGCACGCGGCUCGGCUGGGCCGGCUUGGUCCGGUUCGGUCACGCGGCCGGUUAACAGGCCGGUUCAGCCCAUUUGGCCGGGCCGGCCUCGGUUUUCUUUUUUUUUUCUUCUUUUCCUUUUUCUUUUUCCAUUUUCUGUUUUUGAACACCAAAAUUGAUUCAAAGCUACAAAUCACUCCAAAUAAAUUGCAACAAAAUUUGUAAAAUCAUAUUUUCAUAUGAUCUAACUUUUGGGACAAGAAUUCCCUCUAAAUAAAAUAUUUAAAAAUACUUUUUUCUAUAAAUUAGCCUUUAAGGCCUUUUAGACUAUCAAAAUAACUUGUUUUUCUAAACAAUUUCAAAAGCCAAAUUAUGGGAUGGCCUUAUAUAUGCAUUAAAUCCCUUUUUAUGCCAAAACACUCAUGGUUAAAAUGCAAUUAUUCAAAAGCAAGUACAAAGCCCAAAUUCAAAUAAGGGCACUUUUGUAAAAGGGUUU